GAUGAACGCUGGCGGCGUGCCUAAUACAUGCAAGUCGAGCGAACAGACGAGGAGCUUGCUCCUCUGACGUUAGCGGCGGACGGGUGAGUAACACGUGGAUAACCUACCUAUAAGACUGGGAUAACUUCGGGAAACCGGAGCUAAUACCGGAUAAUAUAUUGAACCGCAUGGUUCAAUAGUGAAAGACGGUUUUGCUGUCACUUAUAGAUGGAUCCGCGCCGCAUUAGCUAGUUGGUAAGGUAACGGCUUACCAAGGCGACGAUGCGUAGCCGACCUGAGAGGGUGAUCGGCCACACUGGAACUGAGACACGGUCCAGACUCCUACGGGAGGCAGCAGUAGGGAAUCUUCCGCAAUGGGCGAAAGCCUGACGGAGCAACGCCGCGUGAGUGAUGAAGGUCUUCGGAUCGUAAAACUCUGUUAUUAGGGAAGAACGAAUGUGUAAGUAACUAUGCACGUCCUGACGGUACCUAAUCAGAAAGCCACGGCUAACUACGUG
Molecule: ribosomal RNA, 497 nt
Filed under: uncultured bacterium
Lineage: Bacteria
Description: partial 16S ribosomal RNA
Rfam family: Bacterial small subunit ribosomal RNA
Source: RNAcentral